RNAcentral lists this long non-coding RNA (209 nucleotides) under Fukomys damarensis (Damara mole-rat). Its description in RNAcentral is "lncRNA (ENSFDAG00000029868.1)". The record is from RNAcentral. Lineage: Eukaryota; Metazoa; Chordata; Mammalia; Rodentia; Bathyergidae.
CUCACUUCCAGAGUUUCUGCUGAAUGCUUCCUAUGACAUAUUGUGAUGACACUGUUGAUGGAUUACAAAUAAUUGAAUAUGCGAAUUGAGACCCUUUGAGAAUACAAAAUCACAAGCAGAGCAGCAGGGCCUGGCACUGUGGUCUCAACCCAGGAGGACAAAAGAGAAUGUAUGCCUUCAGGACGGUGGUCAGGAUGGGAAGGAGAGUG